UAAGUGAAAGCCAAACAGGCAACUAUCUGUUAACUAGUUCAAUGCUAAUCUUAGCUCACUUAG
RNAcentral lists this transfer RNA (63 nucleotides) under Marphysa sanguinea. RNAcentral's name for it is "tRNA-Asn". Lineage: Eukaryota; Metazoa; Annelida; Polychaeta; Eunicida; Eunicidae. The record is from RNAcentral.